AAGUCGAACGAGCGAGAGAGAGCUUGCUUUCUCGAGCGAGUGGCGAACGGGUGAGUAACGCGUGAGGAACCUGCCUCAAAGAGGGGGACAACAGUUGGAAACGACUGCUAAUACCGCAUAAGCCCACGGGUCGGCAUCGACCAGAGGGAAAAGGAGCAAUCCGCUUUGAGAUGGCCUCGCGUCCGAUUAGCUAGUUGGUGAGGUAACGGCCCACCAAGGCAACGAUCGGUAGCCGGACUGAGAGGUUGAACGGCCACAUUGGGACUGAGACACGGCCCAGACUCCUACGGGAGGCAGCAGUGGGGAAUAUUGCACAAUGGGGGAAACCCUGAUGCAGCGACGCCGCGUGGAGGAAGAAGGUCUUCGGAUUGUAAACUCCUGUUGUUGAGGAAGAUAAUGACGGUACUCAACAAGGAAGUGACGGCUAACUACGUGCCAGCAGCCGCGGUAAAACGUAGGUCACAAGCGUUGUCCGGAAUUACUGGGUGUAAAGGGAGCGCAGGCGGGAAGACAAGUUGGAAGUGAAAUCCAUGGGCUCAACCCAUGAACUGCUUUCAAAACUGUUUUUCUUGAGUAGUGCAGAGGUAGGCGGAAUUCCCGGUGUAGCGGUGGAAUGCGUAGAUAUCGGGAGGAACACCAGUGGCGAAGGCGGCCUACUGGGCACCAACUGACGCUGAGGCUCGAAAGUGUGGGUAGCAAACAGGAUUAGAUACCCUGGUAGUCCACACCGUAAACGAUGAUUACUAGGUGUUGGAGGAUUGACCCUUUCAGUGCCGCAGUUAACACAAUAAGUAAUCCACCUGGGGAGUACGACCGCAAGGUUGAAACUCAAAGGAAUUGACGGGGG
RNAcentral lists this ribosomal RNA (847 nucleotides) under uncultured bacterium. RNAcentral describes it as "bacterial SSU rRNA". It matches the Rfam family "Bacterial small subunit ribosomal RNA", at positions 59 to 919 of the family's 1533-position model. The record is from RNAcentral.